This 72-nucleotide transfer RNA is filed under the name Bos taurus (domestic cattle). It matches the Rfam family "tRNA". From Rfam's summary of the family: Transfer RNA (tRNA) molecules are approximately 80 nucleotides in length. Their secondary structure includes four short double-helical elements and three loops (D, anti-codon, and T loops). Lineage: Eukaryota; Metazoa; Chordata; Mammalia; Artiodactyla; Bovidae. RNAcentral also lists the same sequence under 1 other name. The record is from Rfam by way of RNAcentral.
UCCCUGGUGGCUUAGAUGGUAAAGGAUCCGCCUGCAAUGCGGGAGACCUGAGUUCGAUUCUGGGUUGGGAAG